This 3392-nucleotide long non-coding RNA is filed under the name Arachis ipaensis. RNAcentral describes it as "long non-coding RNA (AIPA_LNC002097)". Lineage: Eukaryota; Viridiplantae; Streptophyta; Magnoliopsida; Fabales; Fabaceae. The record is from RNAcentral.
GAGACAGAUUUGGGUGCCGUCCUCGCUCGUGGAAGGUCUGCUCGCUUCUCGAUCCUCUUCUCCUUGACGUUGAGUGCUUGCUCGCAACUAUUGGCGACGCCGCUGCGAAGGGCUUCUCCGUCGUCGUCUCUGCUCGAGUUGUUGGUGCCCAUCUCUCUCUUUGAGUCAUCAAUAACUCUUGGUUUAUAUCAUUUAUGAUUAUGAAUAUUUAGUUUAUUUGUCAUUUAAAUGCAUUUUGAUUUUUAUUAGUUAUAAAGAUUGAUGGUUGAAGUUGUAUGUGAACUUAAUUAUAAAGUAUAGACAAUUUAUUAUGUGAAAUUAUAAAAUUUUAAAUUUUAUUAGUGUAAAAAUAAUUGAAUUUAAAUAUUUAAAAUUACAUAUUAAAUUUUUAAUAAAUUUAUUUUAUAUUUAAUUACCCCGGUUGAACCUUUAAACCAUUGAACCAGUCACUUCACCGGUUUAGUGACCGGUUCGGUUCUCGCAACCUUGUUAUUUACAUAAUCUAAUUUGUAAAACGAAGAUGAAUAUGAACCAUUCAAGAGGGAAAGGGAAUAUUUUACAGGUCCAAAAUCCAAAUGGCUAUCAAAGGAAUAGCAUAACAGUGUUGGUCUGUCAUGAUUUCUACAUAAGCCUUGAUUUGUUCAGAUGCAUUAGUUAGAGUUCUUCAUUAUCGUCUUUUGCACAUUUGUUGUCAAUUCAGAUGUUAAUAGUUUGACAUUCAACUGGAUUUAAGAUAGCUUUUGUUAUUAUUUUUGUUUAUUUUUUUAAAUUUUUUUUUUAUUGUGAAUUGAUAUUAAAUUGGCCCUUCUCUGUCUUUCACUUUAUAGAUGCUUACCUGGGUAUCCCUUCAAGUGUCCCAAGCUGCAGAUUUCUCCUGAGAAUGGAUUAUCAGAGAGUGACACCGAUAAACUAUUGUCACUCCUCCGUGAUCAGAUAUGAUCCCAGUUUAUACCUCAAUAUAUUUCUCUACUCGUACGCUUCAAUGUUGUUGUUGAAUUGCUGACCUUUGGUGCAUUUAUUGUGCUGUAGGUAGUGUUGUAGUAAUAUUUAUGGCUAGGAUGAAAUAUUGGUUAGCCAUAGAAUGCUUUGAUAUUUUGGGUUCCUUGGUGUCAAUGCUGAGAGUAAUUAAGAGCAAGCAUCUGUUAUGAUGCCCAAGUUGGUAGAAGGGGAGCCACAAGGUGGAAGAAGUAUCAAGUAUGUAUUAUUGAAUUAAAAGAUUUUUAAAAGCGUAAUUUGUACAUUAUCUAAAGAAAGUUGAGGUAGAAUUCAAUAUUGAGGUAGUUGAGACCUGAAUGGCAAGAACAAGUUACUAAAACAAGCAUAUUUCUAUGUAAUCUUAUUUUGAAUUCUUCAUGUGUUCAUCCUUCUUUUAAUUCUUUGAAUGUAACUACUGAUCUUCCUUGGUACCCAGGAGUUUACUAGACAUGUUUCAGUUCAAUUAUUUCCUCACUUCAUUUCAUUUAAUCAUGUAUUCAUGUUCUUUUCCUCUUCCGAAAUUAGUUACUCUUUUUAUUUGCAUAGCUGUUAUGACAUGGUUUGUUUAUGGAAGCUUCAGUUUUUACUAAAAUUGAAGCCUUUCUCCUAAUUUAUGUAUUUUUAUUUCUUGUUUAUUCUGAAUUUUGGUUUCAAUUUGAUCUAGUUAGAGGCAGGGAAGCAGCUAUUAACUCCUGCUGCCAAUUUGCAUAAAUCCAUUCUUCACCUUCCUUGAGUUGCCACUUGCCGGGAUAUUACAAUUUUGUGAAGAAUAAAUCUGUAUUAACAUAGCUAUUAGUUAGCAAGCUGCAGCCGUUAAGUUGAGCACUGUGAUGGAUGCCUCGAGAAGAAAAUAUAAAAAAGACCCAACAGCUUUAGAGUGCAUGGUGCAAUCAAUGGAAACUGUGUUUUGGAGCUGAAAUCUCUAGUUCCCUAUCCCUAGGAUUUGAGAUGGUGUUGUAUUUAAGUAUGUAUUUUUGUAGAGAAAAGAAGAAAAAAAAAAGAAAAAAGAAUGCUUGUGUAAUAACCUUAUCUGUUUUGGAAAAUUAUAUCAAAGUGUCCAUCUAUUUACAUUUAUAUUUAAUUAAAUUAAUAGUUGAUUAAUUGUGUAGCAUAGUCCAUAGCUACCUCGUUCAAGUUUUGAACAAUAACAAUAACAAUCAUGCUAUAUUGCUAUGCAAUAAUUAACACCAGACUUCAAAUAUGAUAAUAUUUUGGUUAUUAUUAUUUUGUUUGGAAUUUGGACACUCUUGUCUUGUACGACAUAUAAUACAACUCAACCUGUGUCAAUCAAGGAUAGAAAGGAGAAGAAGGAAAAAUUUUCUAAUUUGGAAUAACCAAACACAGCUUGAAUUAUAAUUACAGUGUAGCAAAAAGUUUGGGAUCCCAUUCUUUGUGAAAUCCGUGUAUUUAUCUAUAUCGUUACUUUAAAAGAUGUUUACAUUCUUUGCUCUUCUCUUCGGCAUCCCUGUUAUAAUGAUAGAACAAUAUUCAUCAUCAUAGAAUUAGGUAGCAUCGUAAAUGAAUUAUCAGACAAACCAAUUACCUGCAACGAAAAGAAGAAUUUGCAUUGUGGUCUCUUAGCUUGGAGUGAGAAUAUAAACAUGAUGUUUAGUGAGCAAUAUUAUAGUUUUUAAUUAAAAAAAUUAUCAGCUUGAAAAUUUUUCCUUCCACCUUUCGUCAAUAAAUCCUCAACUCCUCCGUGAUCAGAUAUGAUCCCAGUUUAUACCUCAAUAUAUUUCUCUACUCGUACGCUUCAAUGUUGUUGUUGAAUUGCUGACCUUUGGUGCAUUUAUUGUGCUGUAGGUAGUGUUGUAGUAAUAUUUAUGGCUAGGAUGAAAUAUUGGUUAGCCAUAGAAUGCUUUGAUAUUUUGGGUUCCUUGGUGUCAAUGCUGAGAGUAAUUAAGAGCAAGCAUCUGUUAUGAUGCCCAAGUUGGUAGAAGGGGAGCCACAAGGUGGAAGAAGUAUCAAGUAUGUAUUAUUGAAUUAAAAGAUUUUUAAAAGCGUAAUUUGUACAUUAUCUAAAGAAAGUUGAGGUAGAAUUCAAUAUUGAGGUAGUUGAGACCUGAAUGGCAAGAACAAGUUACUAAACCAAGCAUAUUUCUAUGUAAUCUUAUUUUGAAUUCUUCAUGUGUUCAUCCUUCUUUUAAUUCUUUGAAUGUAACUACUGAUCUUCCUUGGUACCCAGGAGUUUACUAGACAUGUUUCAGUUCAAUUAUUUCCUCACUUCAUUUCAUUUAAUCAUAUAUUCAUGUUCUUUUCCUCUUCCGAAAUUAGUUACUCUUUUUAUUUGCAUAGCUGUUAUGACAUGGUUUGUUUAUUGAAGCUUCAGUUUUUACUAAAAUUGAAGCCUUUCUCCUAAUUUAUGUAUUUUUAUUUCUUGUUUAUUCUGAAUUUUGGUUACAAUUUGAUCUAGUUAG